RNAcentral lists this long non-coding RNA (345 nucleotides) under Pan troglodytes (chimpanzee). RNAcentral describes it as "long non-coding RNA NONPTRT001115". The record is from RNAcentral. Lineage: Eukaryota; Metazoa; Chordata; Mammalia; Primates; Hominidae.
CAAGAUACCAUUCAUUUUAGCGUGAUGUCUGAAUACAUCUUGCUACUACUUAGCUCCAUAGGGCUUGAUCGUCACAUUUAAAACUCAUAUCACCCACAAUUUUUCAAUUAACAAAGCCUUCUUCCUUCACCUGCCAUGUUCCUUCUCUGUUUUCCAAGCAAAAGUCAAUCAUUCAUUUAUUUAACAGAAUUUGUUGAGUUUUUUUUUUUUAAGAAUAGGUGCCAUACUUUUAUCACCCACAAAUAACCCCACAAACUUGGUAUAAUUGUAUAAAUUGAUUUUACAUUUAAUUCUCACCUUAGCCCAGCAUGAUACUACUGUUUUCUGCCUAUUUCCCAGUUAAGG